Molecule: long non-coding RNA, 387 nt
Organism: Selaginella moellendorffii
Lineage: Eukaryota; Viridiplantae; Streptophyta; Lycopodiopsida; Selaginellales; Selaginellaceae
Exons: 3
Source: RefSeq, a predicted model, not a curated record
ACGUUGGUGUGCAGGUGAUCAAAGUUUUGAAAGCUAAAGUUCUUUUUUCCAGCAAGUAAAAAAACCGUCUACUCGUUAGUUCAGGAGGAGUCCAACACUGGAACCCAUGCUGGAGAUUUGAAAAAGGAGUGGAACGCAUGGACGUUUUCAACACCAUCCUCUGGGGGCUAUCUUUUGGAAAGCUGCUUUUGGCAAAGGCCGGACCGCCUGGAGAUGAUAAAUUGGAAACCAUCCAACUAGCAUCUGCCCUAGCUUGGCAUAACUCAGGAAACGAUCUAAGGAAGCAUCGAGCUCUAUCCAUCCUGGCCUGACCAACCGCUACCAGAUUCAAUUCUACACAGAUUUUGUCAGCCCGAAUAAAUAAAACUUUGAACCUUUUUACUGUUG